Molecule: ribosomal RNA, 440 nt
Filed under: uncultured bacterium
Lineage: Bacteria
Description: partial 16S ribosomal RNA
Rfam family: Bacterial small subunit ribosomal RNA
Source: RNAcentral
CCUACGGGAGGCUGCAGUAGGGAAUAUUGCUCAAUGGGGGAAACCCUGAAGCAGCAACGCCGCGUGGAGGAUGAAGGUUUUCGGAUUGGAAACUCCUUUUGUUAGAGAAGUAAAUGACGGUAUCUAACGAAUAAUCACCGGCUAACUCCGUGCCAGCAGCCGCGGUAAUACGGAGGGCGCAAGCGUUACCCGGAAUCACCGGGCGUAAAGGGAGCGUAGGCGGGAUAGCAAGUCAGAUGUGAAAUCCUGUGGCUUAACCGUAGAACUGCAUUUGAAACUGUUAUUCUAGAGUAUGGGAGAGGUAGGUGGAAUUCUUGGUGUAGAGGUGAAAUCCGUAGAGAUCAAGAGGAAUACUCAUUGCGAAGGCGGCCUGCUAGAACAUAACUGACGCUGAUGCGCGAAAGCGUGGGGAGCAAACAGGAUUAGAUACCCGUGUAGUC